Molecule: long non-coding RNA, 1366 nt
Organism: Peromyscus maniculatus bairdii (prairie deer mouse)
Lineage: Eukaryota; Metazoa; Chordata; Mammalia; Rodentia; Cricetidae
Source: RefSeq, a predicted model, not a curated record
GGUGACCUUGCAUGUGGUCAAGCCAUCCCCUAGUGCAGCCCUGCUGGGUAAAGCAAGCUCAGAUCUCAUUGGGAAACCUUUGUGGGCUCCCACAGUUCACUUGGCACAUUGCAGCGGAGACUGGCUGAUUAGUGUUCACUGUCAACUUGACACAAUUUAGACUCACUUGGGAAGAGAGUCACAAUGACAGACUGUCUAGAGCAGUGAUCCUCAACCUCCCAAAUGCUGCGACCCUUUAAUAUAGUUCCCCAUGUUGUGGUGGCCCCCAACCAUAAAAUUUAUUGCUAAUUCAUAACUAUAAGUUUGCUACUGUUAUAAAUUGUAAUGUAAAUAUCUGUGUUUCCCGAUGGUCUUAGGUGACCCCCAAAGGGAUCGUGACCCACAGGUUGAGAAAUGCUAGCCUAGAUCAAAUUGGCUUGUGGGCACAUCUGGGGUGGUGGUGGAUUAUUUUCUUGAUUUUGUUAAUUGGUAUGGAGAGGCCAGUUGAUAUGGUCACAUCCCUGAGGCUGUGUCCUGAAUUAUGUAAGAAUAGAGACAGUGAGUUCAGUAGCUGGCCUGUAUUCAUUUCUCUCUGCUCUUGACUGUGGGUGUGACCUGAGAAGUGGCUUCCAGCUCCUGCCUCGGUGUUCCUGGAAUGAUGGUAAUGUGUAACCUGAACUGUGUGUGAGCUGAAAGGAACCUUUCCUCCCCAAACUGCUUCUUCCGUCAGGGUAUCACGGCAACGGAAAUGAAGCAAGAUCCAGACUGCAGCAUCCACGGCCUUGAUGUAGAGACACGCCUUUAUACAGAGCCUGUGCGCGUGUUCCUGUAAACUUUAAAUCAGCUCUAGGUUCCUUACCAUAUCCAACAGGUCGAUCGUUUUAUAUUGUAUCAUUCAGGCACCAAGGGAAAAGCCACCAGGAAUACACAGAACGGAAGGAAGAGGACAGGCAUGUAAGCUGUCUCAUUUGAUUCCAUGUUUCCCGAUGAACCAGCUGACCACAGACCGGAAGUCUCUCCUCCGCUCAGCCAGGAAUCAUAGUCACUAGAGCUUCAAGUUCAUGAACAUGGGCCCUUCUCCUUAUUGUAGGAACCUUUCGCGCCCCAGCUCCGCCACCCCUGGAGAGGAACUCAUAAGUGCCAUAGUCCCUUCCAGCAGUUUCUAUGUUGCUGAGCAAUUUGUCACGACACCGUCACACGGAUCCACGUGGCAGCCUCAGGGUUUUGCUUGGCCAUCCUCCUGCCUCAGAUUCCUGACUGCUGGGAUUAAAGGCUCCACUUUGAAAAAGCUUGGCCUUGCUUCCCGUCAGACUCCUUGCUAGGGCCUGGACCUUUUCCGCAAGCAAGCGUGACCGUGUGCUGACUGACCUCGCUCUCUUACCUUAGC